RNAcentral lists this ribosomal RNA (164 nucleotides) under Cymbidium goeringii. Its description in RNAcentral is "5.8S ribosomal RNA". It matches the Rfam family "5.8S ribosomal RNA". Rfam says of the family: 5.8S ribosomal RNA (5.8S rRNA) is a component of the large subunit of the eukaryotic ribosome. It is transcribed by RNA polymerase I as part of the 45S precursor that also contains 18S and 28S rRNA. Functionally, it is thought that 5.8S rRNA may be involved in ribosome translocation. Lineage: Eukaryota; Viridiplantae; Streptophyta; Magnoliopsida; Asparagales; Orchidaceae. The record is from RNAcentral.
UCACACAACUCUCGGCAAUGGAUAUCAUGAUUCUCGAAUCGAUGAAGAGAGCAAUGAAAUGCCAAACAUGGUGUGAAUUGUAAAAUCCUGCGAACCAUCAAGUCUUUGAACACAAGUUGUGCUUGAGGCCAGCUGGCCUCAGGCACAUCCGCUGGGCGUCAAGG